GGGUGAGUAACACGUGGGUAACCUGCCCUAAAGUCUGGGAUACCACUUGGAAACAGGUGCUAAUACCGGAUAACAACAAUAGCUGCAUGGCUAUUGCUUAAAAGGCGGCGAAAGCUGUCGCUAAAGGAUGGACCCGCGGUGCAUUAGCUAGUUGGUAAGGUAAUGGCUUACCAAGGCGACGAUGCAUAGCCGAGUUGAGAGACUGAUCGGCCACAUUGGGACUGAGACACGGCCCAAACUCCUACGGGAGGCAGCAGUAGGGAAUCUUCCACAAUGGGCGAAAGCCUGAUGGAGCAACGCCGCGUGAGUGAAGAAGGUUUUCGGAUCGUAAAGCUCUGUUGUUGGUGAAGAAGGAUAGAGGUAGUAACUGGCCCCUAUUUGACGGUAAUCAACCAGAAAGUCACGGCUAACUACGUGCCAGCAGCCGCGGUAAUACGUAGGUGGCAAGCGUUGUCCGGAUUUAUAGGGCGUAAAGCGAGCGCAGGCGGAAAGAUAAGUCUGAUGUGAAAGCCCCCGGCUUAACCGAGGAAUUGCAUCGGAAACUGUGUUUCUUGAGUGCAGAAGAGGAGAGUGGAACUCCAUGUGUAGCGGUGGAAUGCGUAGAUAUGUGGAAGAACACCAGUGGCGAAGGCGGCUCUCUGGUCUGUAACUGACGCUGAGGCUCGAAAGCAUGGGUAGCGAACAGGAUUAGAUACCCUGGUAGUCCAUGCCGUAAACGAU
Molecule: ribosomal RNA, 720 nt
Filed under: uncultured bacterium
Lineage: Bacteria
Description: bacterial SSU rRNA
Rfam family: Bacterial small subunit ribosomal RNA
Source: RNAcentral